UAAGUAUACAGUAUAAUUUUGCUUUUGUCUUCAUAUCUUUAAUACUUCAGUAGACACUAAUAUCGGAUAGCCUUGCUUAUAAUCGUAUCAAUAUUUCACCGACUACAAGAUGGUAAUAAAUCGGUGAAUCUCCUACACUCUAAAGGAAAAAUAGUUGGGAUGCGGUUGUCUCCUGGUGGAUAAUAAAACUCAACAAAUGAACCGAUUUUGAGGAAUUUAUGUGAGAACCAUUCAUUAACGGUUCAAGGAAUAGUAAAGUUGACCCCAGUGGAAUUUGAACACCAAAUGUAGAAGAAAAAAACAAGUGAAGACAAACAUAAAAGUUCCAACAUAAUUAAAUACCAGAAGAUAUUUAGUCUGGCGACUGUCUAUAUCAUAUUAAUUGGAGGAUUGAGCAAGGCACAUGUUGUUCGAGUCAACUGAGCUGAAAAUAAAAACCAGCCCAAAACUGAUGAAGUCCCCUUUCCUUCCUGAUGCCACACAUGGGUUAUUCCACUGGGUCAACGGUGGAGGAAACGAGAGUGACGUUUAUACUCAAAUGGUGUAAAUUUUGACAGCAGGGAGACAAAGGAAGAUGGAACAAUUUGACAGUUUAUCAGGGCAGAAUUCAAAGGAGAAAGCAAGGUAGAACGUGAGUUACGCUAGAGUGUAAAUCAGGCUGCCUUGCAGUAUUUAGUUGCGUAAUAGCAGUAUUAAGUUGUGUUAUUAGCAUUAUGUCAUUGAAGACGAACUAAUUUGAAUCGCAGGCACCACAUUAAUAAAGAUACUAUGUUAUGUCUUCCCUAA
Molecule: long non-coding RNA, 786 nt
Organism: Octopus bimaculoides (California two-spot octopus)
Lineage: Eukaryota; Metazoa; Mollusca; Cephalopoda; Octopoda; Octopodidae
Source: RefSeq, a predicted model, not a curated record